RNAcentral lists this ribosomal RNA (301 nucleotides) under uncultured bacterium. RNAcentral describes it as "partial 16S ribosomal RNA". It matches the Rfam family "Bacterial small subunit ribosomal RNA", at positions 509 to 807 of the family's 1533-position model. The record is from RNAcentral.
CAGUAGCCGCGGUAAUACGAAGGGGGCUAGCGUUGUUCGGAAUUACUGGGCGUAAAGCGCACGUAGGCGGAUAUUUAAGUCAGGGGUGAAAUCCCGCAGCUCAACUGCGGAACUGCCUUUGAUACUGGGUAUCUUGAGUAUGGAAGAGGUUAGUGGAAUUGCGAGUGUAGAGGUGAAAUUCGUAGAUAUUCGUAGGAACACCAGUGGCGAAGGCGGCUAACUGGUCCAUAACUGACGCUGAGGUGCGAAAGCGUGGGGAGCAAACAGGAUUAGAUACCCCCGUAGUCCCUGUCUCUUAUAC